CAAUAGCGUAUAUUAAAGUUGUUGCAGUUAAAAAGCUCGUAGUCGGAUUUUGGCAUCACGCCGAACUGUCUGCCGAUUGGUAAGUACGGUUUGGCGGGUGCUUCCUUCCGGAGGCUCGUUCCCUUCUUCAUUGAAGGGUUCGUUGGUUCCGGGUCUUUUACUUUGAGAAAAUUAGAGUGUUCAAAGCAGGCCUAUGCUCUGAAUGGGUUAGCAUGGAAUAAUAGAAUAGGACUUUGGUUCUAUUUUGUUGGUUUCUAGGACCGAAGUAAUGAUUAAUAGGGACAGUUGGGGGCAUUCAUAUUCCAUUGUCAGAGGUGAAAUUCUUGGACCUCGAGACUAACAACUGCGAAAGACAUUUGCCUAGGAUGUUCUCUUUAAUUCAAGAACGAAAGUU
This 394-nucleotide ribosomal RNA is filed under the name uncultured eukaryote. Its description in RNAcentral is "bacterial SSU rRNA". It matches the Rfam family "Eukaryotic small subunit ribosomal RNA", at positions 592 to 991 of the family's 1831-position model. The record is from RNAcentral.